Molecule: long non-coding RNA, 8059 nt
Organism: Fundulus heteroclitus (mummichog)
Lineage: Eukaryota; Metazoa; Chordata; Actinopteri; Cyprinodontiformes; Fundulidae
Exons: 8
Source: RefSeq, a predicted model, not a curated record
GAUAUCACUUGGUGAACUGAGCGUUCUAGUCUUCUAUUAGACUGGAAAUUUAAUGCAAGCUUUUUAUAAACCAUAUUCUCAAAGUUUUUUUGCAGGUUUCCCUUACUUCAUUCAUAUUGAGCCCUUUUGGAGCGUGAAUCUGUGAGUUUCAGUUUGGUUUUAAUUGGGUCACCCUCGCCUUCCCCUUUCUUUUUUUUUUUUUUUUUGCCCUGCCUUUCUGUAAAACCCAGCCUAAUUAGACCUACAACAUUGUGAAACUACCAGAAACAUAUUGUAUCAGCCCUGCCUCAAUUUCAAUUGAUGUUCUGUUUUUCUUUUUUUUUAGUUUAGAUUGUAUAAGCUAUGUAAUGACGUUUACUAUACUGUUGUAGUCAUUAAUGGCCUUGCAUGGGAUGGCUUGAGACUUUAUAGCAGCACAGACAGAAAUGGAUAAAAGGUUUUAUGGAAAUAAAAGAUUCCUGAAGGCGGAGAAAGCAAGACCUAAUGACUGUUGUACCAGCUGUUCCUCAUUACCAAGGUCACUGGCAUUGGGACCAGCUGAGAUAUGCUAAGUGGUUUAAUGCCUUUAAAAAUGGCCAUGAGGCCUUCCUGUCAGUUUUACAUUCACUGACACCAUUAACUGUCUGAAGUGCACAGCAAAAUCUUAUUUUCUUUAAUUAUCCUCAUUUGAGCUGGUUUCCCGCAAGGGCUGUGUCAGAAAAUGGCAAAUUUUCACUGCACAUACAUGACAACUGUAUAUUUACGUUACACUGGGCUGUUUUUGAGCUUUCUCAUGAUUUCCAGGGUUGCAUGUCUCUCACAGUAAUUACAGUAAGAGGCAUACUUAAUGUUUUUAUUAUAUUUUUGAAAAAUAUUUCUUUUGUUAUGCAUCAAAAACAGCACCAAGCUCAAAGAACACAUUUGCUCCCCCAAGAACCUAUUAGGUUGUCAAACAUCAAAAGUCAUGUUCAGUUCUUACACAGCAACAGCCAAUCUUUUUUAAAUUGUUGUAGCUCAGAGUGGGGCAAAAAAACUGUUCCACCAUAUACAGAAAACGAACAAGAAAUCUGAGCUUAAUGUUUGGACCUAUGUGAGUCCUGUGGGGGCUCGGAGGGCAUCAGCAGAAUUAACUCAUUUGCCCGCAUUUACCAGGAGAGAGUAAGCACCUAAUCCUAGCUUGCAUUAUUAAAGAUGAUAGCACAGUGGUUUCUGUAAGACCACCUCACUGAAUCAAAGUUUUACAUGGGCUGAUGAUGUAUGGAUAUAUAAUUCAGUGCACUGCAUAGGCUUUGGGACGAUGCUGCUUUUUUUUUUCUUUCCUCCCAGGCCAGCCCACUGCCUUCUCAUUCACAGACACAUGCAUGCAACAAACCACUCCUUAACCCCUGGAGGGCACCUGUGUUUUCAAAGUAAAGACCACUUAAAGAAUAGCCCCAGGCGUCUGAAUGCUGAAGUGCCCUGCGUUACACAUUAGAGGCUGCUGUACUCACCAGAAAACAUAAACACUCUCAGUAGCCUUUGUCUCCUCUCAAGAAUAGCCCAAAUAUCUCAAAAUGGUGAAAAUGAAACCCAUUGCACAGACUUUAAUAUAAGUCAGAUAGUCUAGUGGGACAUACCCCAUUUAAUACCAGUCACUUGCUUGCACAGCUCAUUGGAUAGAAAAGGCAAAAGGUCAAGAGUAAGAAGCUGGUCUGUCCCCCAGUUUACUUUUUUAACUUGUAUAUCAAAGAAAGAAUGUGUUUGAACAUGCUUGCAUGAUUCUUUUUUCGCAAAAGUAUUGCAAUGAAAGUAUUGAAAGUAGUUGUGAUUUGCUGAAUGUUCACCACUACUCUUUUUUGUUUGGUGUAAAGGCAGAAACCCAUAAUCGUCUCAUCUUAAAUGAUGGCACAGGCAUAUGCUGCACCCAACUCCAAUACAUUUUCUUUUUUACCUCAAGUUUUUAAUGGGUGUGUCAGGCUUUGUUGAUAUUCAAAACGUAAAAACUGCAUUUUAAACUGAUUUGCACCAAAAUAAAAAUGCGUAUGUGCCAGACAUCCUUCUCUUUACAAGAGGGAGACAUGGAGUUAAAAAUUGCAUGUUUUCUUUAGUUUAGUGGGUUGAAAUAAGUUUAAUCAGGUGCCAGGAACAGAAACACAGAACAUACCGCCCAGCCUUUGGAGAUAGCCUCUUGUCAUAUGUCACCAUGAACAGUUUGAUUUAAAUCUUAUCAGAUUAACCAGCAGACAAAAAUGAGAGUUUUCAGUGAAGAAAGGAAAGUGUUAUCUAAAUUUUUAAUGAUCCCUCCUACAUGAUGGCUUUGUCUAUAUAUGUUGUGCAUUUGGAACAGUAGAGAUGUCAGCGUUGUUGUUGUCAUUAAAUCAGGUUACCCUUUUGUGCAUAAAUAGCCGGGGGAGACAUUUGAAUGUCUUGAUAGACGUAACUGUUCUGUCUCUAAAUGUGUUGAAAUGGAGGCGUGAGGAAUGGCAUCAUUAAGGUAAUGUGUUCAGGAAGCCAACGAGUUAUGCUCUAACCUCUGCUGCUCAGCUCGAGAUGCGGUAAAUGCACAAUGUAAGGUCAUCUCUUAAUCAGUGAGAUGCAGCACUCACAAACAUACGCACACAAUACUUCAAUUACAUUAUGAAAUGGCUCCCAAAUGAGUCAUAUGACAUGUCUAGCGGGUUUUGUUCUUGCAGCGGUUGUGUAUUGUAAGAGAAAAUGUGUAUUGUGUAGGGGAUUUGUUUGUGCAGUUAUUGCAUAAAAACUAUCAAGCCGUUUUAAUGUUCCAGCCAUGUAGAAUGCUGUUGUAUUAUCUUUUGAAACAGGAGAUAGUCACUUGUCUAUGCAGACCAGAAGAGCUCUAUAGUUCCUGUUCAGCAAUUACUCUGAAUACCAGAAGCAAAGACCAUGAGAAGGAGGCCUUAUGUUUUUUUUUUUUGUUUUUUUUUGUCCUUGCCCAUGACGCCAUCUCAGUGAUAUAACCCUCAGCUUUUUCUCAAUCACUUCAGAUUUUCCUUGUUAGCCCUCAAGCCAGAGUCAGCAGCAAUGUUUUUUCCAUAAACCAAUAUCCUAUGAAUUCUCUUGUCCCUGAGUUUGGAGGCAAUCGGCACUAUUGUGACCACGCACUCUCUUGUCACUAUGUUCUGCGGUGUUUGUUUUGUUUGGUGAGUUUUCUGUGAUGAAUUUCACCUCUCACUCUUGCCACCAGAGUUGACCAAUGAGUCCUUUGACUGCAUUGCCUGUGGUGUUUUUCUUUAAUAAGUCCAGAGGUGAGGCAAAGCAAGCAGACCAUCAAUCAUCUUGCCAGGAUCUUACACUCAGAUUGCUACAGUUGCCUGCCUCUUGAACGAGUCAUAUUCCACAUGCAAUGAUUUACAUUACUUAGCUAAAAUCCUGUAUUGUCAAGAUCGCUGUGCACCUUUUCGUUUUACCUGACACCAAUAAUUGGGGUGCUUCUGCUAUAUGUUUGUAUUUUAAAUACUCCUUUUAUGUUUUUUAGGCUACUGAAAGGUGCCUUUGGAGUUAAACUUUGCAAAUGAACCCACAUACAAAUGCAGAUAUAACUCACCUUCUGAUCAGGACAUUUGUGUGGCCUCGUUCAUCCUAUGGAAGUUCAACCUGAAAAGCAGCACUUGUGCCUUUGGGCCUCAGUUACACACCUCAGAAUGGAUCUUUAUUUACAACACAGAACUCGGAAACAGCUGGUCAAUCCAUUUAGCCUAAGGCCACUGAUUUGUUCGUAUUUACUACAACAGCCAGAGAAAAGCCAGGGUAUUUUUUUCCUCUCUCCUUGCUAUUGAUCCGGCGCUUAGAAAAUCUGCCCCGCUGUCUAAACAUUAUUGAUCCCUCCCCCUCUCAACGACAGGCUUUCGCACCAGUGUAUAAAGGGACUGGGUGAAUUGAAAUUUCAUUUCCAACAACUUGUUCCUGUUAUUUUUACCCUUUCUUUCAAUAGUUGGGAACAUGCGCUGGCGGGCCGCUACUCAGAGAGUCGAUAAGUGUUUGGCUCAGAGUGGAGACAAGGGAUAAAGGGCUGGAUCCUAACUUGAUGCUCGAGGCAAGAAAACGUCAGAAUGAUCAGAACCUGGCCUGAGAUCAACUUCAGCUGCAAAGGUCGUUACUGGCAGUUGUGGCCCCACAGCUGAAGAUCAUUUGGAUUAAGCAGAUCCUAUGAGCAGAUGCCAGAUUGUUACCUCACCCAGCACGGAUGCAGUCCAUGCUUGGGCUCGAGUUCCUCCAUCUCGGUGGUCAGUUUCCUCACUCCCUGGAUCCAAGAAACCACUUACUUCUCGCUCACCUGGCUGUCCAUGCUCCGGCCUCAUCUGCUCCUCUGCACAUCUCCUCCUGUAGAUAAGGAAACAUUGAGUCUGGAUCGUCAAACCACAAAACUCCACCACCUGCCAAUCUCAGAUUAUGUGGACUUGUGCACCUGUUCAAAGAUGUCCUCAUUCACCAUUAAUGGCUUGUAGCUCAGCAGGAAUGAACAGAGUAGAUGAAUCGCUGAAUUGUUUCAUGGAUGCGGGGGAGUUUUUGGUACCAUUUUUUUCUCAACUGUGUUGCAAGCCUGUGUGAUUUAUUAUUUUUACCCCAAGAGACAUCUGUUACACCAUUGCCUGUUUUUGUAAUGCAUCAUCAGCCAGAGGAAAAGUAAUAUUAUCCAGCCUGGGAUAUUGCACUCUGGAGUCUAAUAAUCUAAUGUAUACUAGGGUUGUUGUCAUUAAAGUGCCAGUGGAGGUGUAGGAAGAUGCUGGGUAGGCCUAACAUCGUUCUGUUUCUGAUUUCUCUCUAAUAUAUUUUUUUUUGGGGUGGGGGGGUUCCAAGUAUCUGCUCACACACAAAUUAUUAGACAACCACAGGCUUAUACAUGUAACACUUAAGACAGGUGUGUUAAACGAAGUGUUGGUCUUAUGAAAAGUGGAAUAACACUGAGCUCCAAGAAUGCUGUAACAACAGGGGCUUAAUGAUAUCAAACUUUUGUUUUGAGAUUAGGGACGUUCAGCUUUUUCGAAAUACCGUCUACUAAGUCACUGAUGCAGAAAAAUACAUCACUCUAUUUCUGUUACAAACUACAGAGUAAUAAAUCUUUAUUUAACAAUGUCAACUAAAGAAAGUGGGCCUCUGCUUUCUAUCCAAGUGACUCGGAUAGAAAAACCACGUGCAGGCUGUUAGGAGACAGACAGGAGACAUUGAUGCUAAUCAGCAAUCUCUCCAUGGACCUCCACAGCUCUGCAAGUGGCAGGCCUGCCUGCGUGCAAGUAUGCUUUAGUUCUUAUUAAGGAGCGAGGAGCCAGAGAUGCACCUGAAUAUUCAAGUGGGGUCUGCAAGGUGAAGGGCAAUACACGAUGCUGACGUUGGGCUCCAUUAUUCAUCCAUCUCAUGUGACAGCAGCGUUCUGUUUCCAUAGGUCAAAAGUGUCUCUUUCCAUUUUUAUAAAUCAAGGAACAUAUUCUUUUCUAUAUUAGCUUUUUCUAUACCUUCAUCAAGUUUGUCUUUUGUCUUCCAGCUGUAAUCUUAAAUUUGUUUUGAUUGACCUGCUGUCCCCACUUUCCACAUUAGGCCUUUCCCCCCCCACUGUGAUUGGUCCAGGUGUGCAAAACAAACUAGCCACAUCAUGAACCACUACCAUCUAUUCCUCUUACUUAUUGGGAUUUGACUACAAGAGGAGUGCUGAUUGCUAGAGGAGAGCCAGCUGGGGAAUCAAAAUCUUCUAACCUUUGUUUUCCAUCAGAUGCUAUGGUUGCAGAGUUGGAAGACGGUCUGCUGAAGAUUUUAUCCCUGCGGGGACCUUGUCCUUGUGCAGACUACACGUACGGUUCUGGAAAUGACUUUGAUUGAGAAGAUUAUAGGACUCAAAGGACAUUCAAUUAUCAGUGAAAAUAACCAAAACAUGUGACCAUAUUGAAGCUCUGUAGUCUGGAUUGGGUUCCCCGCUGAAAAGGAAAUAGUUUUGAAGUCGAGUCAGAUUGCCCCAUGGACCAGUUUAAAAUAUGAAAAUGCAUAAAAUCAACAAAGGCUGCUGUAACUCCAUUAUCAUGAAUGUGCAGUUAGUGUCCUUGCUACUCCUUCUGUGUAGACUUACAUUUUUUCCUGAUUAUUUUAUGCCAGAUUAUUUUCAAAUUCUUGUACUUUUAGCUUUUAUAUUUAUUUUAUGUACUGAACUUAAGUUUAUCUGUUGUAUUUCUGUAUGUUGACAUCUACAAAAGAAGGCACGCUCCAGUCACAUACAACAACUGCUCCUAAAGUAACAUGCCCACAAGGCAAAACAGCCAAAAUCUUAAUGAGUCCAGCCAGAAAGAAAAGAAAUUUCAGCAAAAUAAAAGAAUAAUAAAGGUAUCAAACCCUUAACAAGUCUGCCUUUGUUCUUCCACUCCACCCACCACAAGCAGGCAUCGCUGCAGCUCUGAGGGCAGCUCUGAGAGUUCCAUGCCCACCGGCCUUCAAUCACAUGGGAUGUCUGAGUUUGACAGUAUAAAGUCUUUCUUCUAGAACAAAAUAAGACCCCUAAGCAAUAGUGGAUGAGCCGUUAGUAACUAUGCACUCCAUAGGGAAGUAGAUCAAGCUUGGUAGUACAGUACACACAAAGUGCUGGUUAGGGAUAAAACAAUGGACCCUUGAAGACAGGACUAGAUGCCACAACACUCCCCCGAUUCUUGCCGUCUGCUUCUCUGCAAAUGUAUCGUUGUUCUUUUUAAACUGACAUGUAAAACAAAGUAGCACUUUUAAUUUGUAUAUUAAAAGCGUUAACUAUGUCAUCUUACACUGUUUCGAAGAUGCAAGUGUUGUCUUCUACCAGCAUCACCCGGUCUUUCUGCAGAGCUGAGUACGAGAUCAUAGAGGUUAUGAGGAUGUUUUUUGUUUUUUUUUAAAGGGUAGCAGUGAGUAAGUUGUUCACUUCCUAGGAUGGAUUGAUUUAGUCUUGACACCAAGAUGUUUCUUCUUGUUGCUGAGUCGAUAUUCUACUUACUUCCAGCAUUACAUUCAAUCUUCCAACACUUUGGGUGUCUGAAGAGCACCAAGUAUUAUUAUUAAUACAAUGGAACUUUGCACAAUAUCGUAUUUAUAUGUGGUCUCCAUCCGGCUAUAUGUUACAGUGGAAAUCCUACAAAGGGUCAGCUAUUGUCUUGAAAUACUUGAACUUGUAAUAAACAUGAGAAUGUGUUUCUUUUUCAUCAAAACUACAGGUAGUGUUGUUAUUGUUUGGUUUCUGACUGACAAUCUUUUAUCAGCACCAACUCAUGCAAUGUGGGGAGCAUCACUGGCCCAGAGCUCAGUCACUAUGAUUAUGGUAACACUUUGACACAAUGAUGACACAGCUAACCCCCAAGGAGGGGAAUUCAACCCUAGGAACACCAUUAGCAUGGUCAAGCAUGGUGAUGAGAAUAUCAUUCUUGUUUUUAUGGCCAAUACGACAAGCCACCCAAUCAAUAUAUACUGUAUUGCCUAAUGAAAAAAGAAGACUGUCAAGAUCCUCAGCAACAUCAAGCACUGUGCGAAGAAUCUCGGUCUUGGGCGGGAGUUAAAAAUUAGGGUGAUUGCAAAGAGGUUUUCCAACCCAAAGAAUUGGAAGUUAACACAAUGAACGGUCAACGGGAUUACUGAAAACAUGCAGGUUUGUCAGAAAUGAGAAGUGUUCGAUUGCUGUAAAACUAUUAAGAUGGUGCUCCAUAGUUUUCCAGUUUGUUACCUUAAGACCAGACUCCUACAACUGAAUGAGGCUUGUCGACUAUUUUGGCCAUGUGACUCUGGAGUGUUUUAAAUUAAUUCAUAACUCGCAAAAAUAACUUAUUGAAGAUGUGAACGGAGACGACAAAAUACUUCAGUAACAAGGUGUUCAGUUUGUGCUGGGAAAUCACAAUUUGUGACUUUUAAGUUGGGAAAGUGUAAAGGACCACCCUGAAGUCAGAAUUCCUGAUUGGAAAGCUCAAUGUCCCAAUCAGGCCCUAAAUUCAAUAUCCAAUAGACCCACAAUAGUCGUCAAACCCAAGUGACAGCAAGGAACAAAGGUUGUAAGUGGUGUGUAUCUCUGGUGUCGUAUUUUAAAGGUAUACUAUGCAACCGGGGUUGCCUCCAGCGAGGCUCCCCCCAGAGGGCGAAAGUAAAAGUG